Molecule: long non-coding RNA, 95 nt
Organism: Cucurbita moschata (crookneck pumpkin)
Lineage: Eukaryota; Viridiplantae; Streptophyta; Magnoliopsida; Cucurbitales; Cucurbitaceae
Exons: 3
Source: RefSeq, a predicted model, not a curated record
GCAAAAGUCGUGCACCAAGGCAGAUAUGGGUAAAAGGAAUAAGGCGUUGCCUAAUUUAUCCAAUGCAAAUUAAGGGUAGAAACUUAUUGAUCAGG